GAUUUCUGGCUCGGAGCAUCUGGCCCGCCUCGAAAGAGUGUGUGUUGUCGGUGUGCUCCGGUCAUCCUUCUGGAGAACAUCUCUGCCCUUCAUUGGGUCGGGGGUGGGAUCCAGAUCGUUUACUUUGAAAAAAUUAGAGUGUUUAAAGCAGGCUUUUGCUAUGAAUACAUUAGCAUGGAAUAAUAAUCUAGGACUUCGGUUCUAUUUUGUUGGUUUCUAUAACUGAAGUAAUGAUUGAUAGGGAUAGUUGGGGGUGCUAGUAUUGGCCGGCCAGAGGUGAAAUUCUUGGAUUCGGUCAAGACUAACUUAUGCGAAAGCAUU
RNAcentral lists this ribosomal RNA (321 nucleotides) under uncultured Tremula. Its description in RNAcentral is "SSU rRNA". The stretch from base 106 to 321 matches the Rfam family "Eukaryotic small subunit ribosomal RNA", at positions 738 to 955 of the family's 1831-position model. Lineage: Eukaryota; Cercozoa. The record is from RNAcentral.